AGAUUGAACGCUGGCGGCAGGCCUAACACAUGCAAGUCGAGCGGCAGCACGGGUACUUGUACCUGGCGGCGAGCGGGCGACGGGUGAGUAAUGCCUAGGAAUCUGCCUGAUAGUGGGGGAUAACGUUCGGAAACGGACGCUAAUACCGCAUACGUCCUACGGGAGAAAGUGGGGGAUCUUCGGACCUCACGCUAUCAGAUGAGCCUAGGUCGGAUUAGCUAGUUGGUAGGGUAAAGGCCUACCAAGGCUACGAUCCGUAAC
This 261-nucleotide ribosomal RNA is filed under the name uncultured soil bacterium. RNAcentral's name for it is "partial 16S ribosomal RNA". It matches the Rfam family "Bacterial small subunit ribosomal RNA", at positions 26 to 287 of the family's 1533-position model. The record is from RNAcentral.